This 506-nucleotide long non-coding RNA is filed under the name Coturnix japonica (Japanese quail). Its description in RNAcentral is "lncRNA (ENSCJPG00005002446.1)". Lineage: Eukaryota; Metazoa; Chordata; Aves; Galliformes; Phasianidae. The record is from RNAcentral.
UCCAUUCUCCUAAGAUUCCUCUCGCAUUUUUCCCUAAUAGAAUCCCAUCAUGCCCUAUGGGUCCCAUCCCAUCCCUAUAGAUCCAUCCAUCCCUAUAUGAUUCCCAUCCAUCCCCUAUAGAUCCCAUCCCAUCCCCUAUAGGAUCCCAACCAUCCCUAUGUGUCCCCCCUUUAGUGUGGGGUCCCUGUUCCCCCUAUGGGCGCACUGGACGGCAGCUCAUUACAAUGGAUCCGGAUGGGCACUACGGUUGCCACCAACGCCCUCCUGCAGCGCCGUGGGUCCCAUCCAUCCCCUAUAGAUCCCAUCCAUCCCCUAUAGAUCCCAUCCAUCCCUAUAGAUCCCAUCCAUCCCUAUGUGUCCCAUCCAUCCCUAUAGAUCCCAUCCAUCCCCUAUAUUGUUUAUUCUAUCCUAUUCUCUAUUCUUCCCCCUUAGGUGGUCCUUGUUCCCACCCUAUGGGCGCACUGGAGGCAGCUCAUUACAAUGGAUCCGGAUGGGCACUACGGUGC